This 430-nucleotide ribosomal RNA is filed under the name uncultured bacterium. RNAcentral describes it as "bacterial SSU rRNA". It matches the Rfam family "Bacterial small subunit ribosomal RNA", at positions 355 to 775 of the family's 1533-position model. The record is from RNAcentral.
UGCGGAAUUUUAGAUAAUGGAGGGAACUCUGAUCUAGCGACGCCGCGUGCAGGAAGAAGGUCUUCGGAUUGUAAACUGCUGUGGUAAGGGAAAAACGCUAUGUAGAGUGGAAAGCUACAUAGAGGGAUGGUACCUAACUAGAAAGCCCCGGCUAACUACGUGCCAGCAGCCGCGGUAAUACGUAGGGGGCGAGCGUUACCCGGAAUCACUGGGCGUAAAGGGAGCGUAGGUGGCCUAACAUGUCAACUGUGAAAACCCGGAGCUCAACUCCGGACUUGCAGUUGAAACUGGUAGGCUUGAGGACGGUAGAGGAAGACGGAACUGCCAGUGUAGAGGUAAAAUCCUUAGAUAUUGGCAGGAACGCCGGUGACGAAGGUGGUUUUCUGGGCCGGUUCUGACACUGAUGCUCGAAAGCCAGGGGAGCGAACGG